This 253-nucleotide ribosomal RNA is filed under the name uncultured bacterium. Its description in RNAcentral is "partial 16S ribosomal RNA". It matches the Rfam family "Bacterial small subunit ribosomal RNA", at positions 524 to 776 of the family's 1533-position model. The record is from RNAcentral.
UACGUAGGGUCCGAGCGUUGUCCGGAGUGACUGGGCGUAAAGCGCGCGCAGGCGGCCUGUUAGGCGCGACGUGAAAGCCCCGGGCUCAACCCGGGAGGGUCGUCGCGAACCGGCGGGCUUGAGGCCGGUAGAGGUGGGUGGAACUCCUGGUGGAGUGGUGAAAUGCGUAGGGAUCAGGAAGAACACCCGUGGCGAAGGCGGCCCACUGGGCCGGUGCUGACGUUGAGGCGCGAAGGCGUGGGGAGCGAACGGG